AGUGAUCGCUGGCGGCGUGCUUAACACAUGCAAGUCGAGCGAAUUUCAGCAGCGUAUCGCUGGAGUUAGCGGCAGACGGGUGAGUAAUACUUGGGCAAUCUGCCCUUGAGUGGGAAACAACCGGCCGAAAGGCUGGCUAAUGUCCCAUAAGACCACAGGAUGGCGUCAUCCAGGGGUCAAAGCUCCGCAAGGGGCGCUUGAGGAGGAGCCUGAGGCCUAUCAUGGUAGUUGGUGAGGUAACGGCUCACCAAGCCUUUGACGGGUAGCCGGCCUGAAAGGGUGAUCGGCCACACUGGCACUGAGACACGGGCCAGACUCCUACGGGAGGCAGCAGUGGGGAAUUUUGGACAAUGGGCGCAAGCCUGAUCCAGCGA
This 374-nucleotide ribosomal RNA is filed under the name uncultured bacterium. Its description in RNAcentral is "bacterial SSU rRNA". It matches the Rfam family "Bacterial small subunit ribosomal RNA", at positions 29 to 394 of the family's 1533-position model. The record is from RNAcentral.